RNAcentral lists this long non-coding RNA (12219 nucleotides) under Salvia miltiorrhiza (redroot sage). RNAcentral describes it as "long non-coding RNA (SMIL_LNC007619)". Lineage: Eukaryota; Viridiplantae; Streptophyta; Magnoliopsida; Lamiales; Lamiaceae. The record is from RNAcentral.
UUUGGCACUGGAUUCAACAAUCAUCUGUGUGUCAUCUUCUACUUCAUCAACAACCUCAGCCACCGGGACUUCUUCUUCAACAAUUGGCACAUCACCAUUCUCAGAUGGAUUGCAAACUUCUUCUACCACAGCUUCUUCUGCGGGAGGUGUUUUAUUCUCAGAGGCAGGAAUAUUAUUCUCCGGAACUGUUGUUGGGGCAGCAGGAACUAGCAGUAGAAGUGUACAGGAUUGUCACUUCACAAUCGGCAAUGAAUAGACAAGUACAAAAGUAGUAAGAUAUACAUAUACGUUACCUGGCUCGGGAGAUGUAAGUGCCACAUUUUCAUUGACCACGGCUGGGUACGAAGGGGAACUAUCUAGAUACCGAAACAUAUCAUUCAAGACAAAGUAACCCUUGUCCUGAGGUGCAAGGAAAAAAGACUGUGCAAAAUUGCGGCCUGAGUUGUCCUUCGCCGUCAUAUAGCCAGUUACUAGAACAUUAACUCCACCACUAAAGGACUCUUGAGAAUCUACUGACUUAAUCUCUGCUCUGAAAUCACCAUAGUUGAGGGCAAGAAUCUUCUCAUUUAUGGCCUGUGCAAUCACAUCAUAUCAACACAAGAGAGAUUUAUUUAAAAUCUAUUAGCAGUUACAAAUAUUAAUCUCUAUCAAUAAUCUACACAUACUAAAUUAUUUUACAAGAACGCUAUCAAAAUAAUUAUCUCAACAAUUCAAAAACAAAUGGAACCGCACUGCAUUGAAAAUCAGGCAUUCCACCUUCCAUGCACUAAACAAACGAAAAAAUAAACUCCAAAAUCAUGUAUCCAAUUGCAAAAAAAGAGUCACACCGGGUUUCUCAUAUCAAGUACAGUUUUGGGAGAACUCAUUAACACACAUCGCUAAAUAAGAGGUAGAGAGAGUGGAAUUACUUGCAUAGUGGUGGUGAUGGUCAUGGAGCCAUCCUCUUCUGGACGACCAAGCUUACUUACGUCCUGAUAAAACCGAUGAACAAGCCCCGGCGAGAGAUGCAGAAUGUGAUAAUACUGAGUCACAAAUGCGUUCCCAACCUAUAUCUCCCCACCAAAGAGCUAAAUUAACAAUACCAAAAAAAAUAACAAAAAAAAAAACAAAAGAAAAAUAACACUUACAACUUCGGCAGUAACUGGUGGCUGUGCUGCUACCUCUGCUGCCGCCGCCAUCUCCGAUCUCACCAAACGACCUAUAACAGCCCAAAACACAUCAAUACAGAAAGCCCGCUCUCCCGCACUCAAAAACCCUAACUGUACGGAUCUUCCCAUACCAAUCAAAUCACAUAAAAAAAAUCCUACAAACACGCGGCUAAAAGGUAAUCGGAUCGUUGCCGUACCUGGAAGAAAAUCGUAUUAGCUGCAGAGAGCACGAGAAAGGAACCGGAUUUUUCGGAACUCUCUCUACCCCGAAGCUUCCCUUGGAGCGCUGAAAAGCCGCCGCAGCCCCGGCGACGGAAUCUAGGGUUUGGACGACGUAAAAGGAGGCGCAGCGGUGGAUCUCGAAGAGGCGCGAGCGCGGGCAGUAUGGAGAGAGAAGAAGGGUUUCUGAUGAUUUAUUAUAAAUGGGAGAGAAAGAGAGAGGGAAAUCUUUGCGUGAUGUAUAACAAUAUUUUUUACGUUAUUAAAUUAUGAUUAGUGUUUUAGCAUUUGAUUAGAUUGCAUUUCCUAUUGGAUCUCUAGAAGUCUAGAACUUUCCAUUAGCCAAUAACGAACUCCACUUUUUUUAUUGCCUCGUUACAAUAUUAUUACGAUGAUUUUUACUGCACCUAUGGAAAACUUAAUAAUAAUGCACGAAUUUAUGGGAUUUUAUAGAACUUUAGCUUAGACAUAUCCCACCACAUAACAGUAUAAGGUGAUUAAUACGAUGGAAUGGACGCGGGAAUCAUAUAAUGGUUUUUAUUUUAUAUCUUGAUUUUAUUAAUGAAAUAAUGGUUCUUAUUGACUAUAUUGAUUUUAUUCUUUUAUUUGAUAUUUUUUUUUAUAUAAGAAUCAUCAUUUUAUUUGAAAUCGCCAUUCCUAUUCAAAUCAUCAUUCAUUUCACUCAUUUCACCUACCAUGAUAUUAGUCAUUUUAUUUCAUUCUUCAUUUUUUAAAUGUAAGUUUUGACAUGUAUAUUUAUAUGAAACAUAUAUUAUUAUUAUUAUUAUUACUAUUAUUAUUAUUAUUAUUAUUAUUAUUAUUAUUAUUAUUAUUAUUAUUAUUAUUAUUAUUAUUAUUAUUAUUAUUAUUAUUAUAUUUUUUACUUAAAAUGUAUAAAAUAUUUUUUGAAUAAAAAAAUAAAAAUAUUAUCAACUUUAUAUAAGCAAUAGUGUAAUAUAUGGAUUGAAAUUGAUGCACACAUUGCAUAAUCAUGUAUAAUAACAUUCUACAUAUUUUUUUCUUUUUUGGUUCUCCUUCUUUCUUUCAUGUUUCUUAUAUAAGCAAUAGUCUAGUAUAUGGAGUAUUUGUUUUUUCUUAUUUAUUGUACAUUAACAAUUACGCUAACUAAUUGAUUUUUUUUCUAACUUAUAUAUACUAAAAACAUUGCAUCCAGAUCAUUAAAAAAUGUGUUUAACUAAAGUAACUAUUUACAGUAUAACGAAUACAAUAAAAAAAUAUAAUUUGUAAAAUUUGUAGAUAUAUAUUUUUAUGCUGAAAUAAUAUUAUUUAAAAAUGAGAAUUGAUAUGCUUACAAUUUAACUAUGUUAUUUGAAAUUUAUGCUAAAAUUUUAUAUAAUCCUAGUAUUUAGUCUUAAUAUAAUUAAGUAUUAAUUAAUUCAAACGUUUAACUUCUAUAAAGUUAAAUAAAAAAAAUGAAUUACAAAUACUUAAAUCUAUGUAUCAACAAUCAAUUUUUUAAAUUUUUAAGAAAAAAAGUGUUUAUCCUAUAGAACUAUAUAUUACAUCCACAAAAUUAUCAUUGUAAUUUUUAAAUUUUUACAAAUAUUCUUCGUGAAAUACAUCAAUAAAAUAUUUAUCUACUAAAUUAUAUUUAUAAUUUUUAUACUUUUAAAGUGAUGUAAAAAGUAAAUUAUUAAAAUAAAAUAAUUCCCAAACUUUAUUUCUAGCUACCAAUCAUAAGAAUGAAAUCAAACAAAUAAUCAAAAUUUCGUUCCUUUAGUAUUCCUUAUGCAUACCAAGCAUAAGAAUCAUCUAAGAUUUGCCAUUCGUUUCACAUCUUCAUUCCAUUCCUACUUCCAUUUCAUUUCACCCUCUUUCCAUUCCAUCAUACCAAUCAUCUUCUUAAAUUCUCUCCCUCUUUCAUUUUUUUAGUUCAAUUAACUUCAGUACUCUUUCUUAUUUUUAUUUUUAGUUGGGAGAGAGAAAUUGGAAUUGGAUCUUGAUUUAUUAGUUCUUUACGAAAAAUGAAUGCCACCAAACAAAUUUUGUUGAAGAUACAAGUGCUAUUAGAUUGAAAACUAAAAGUUCCACUAACAUAUUGGAAAAAAAUUGUAAUUUUGGUGUGUAUUUUGUUUUUAUAAAUUUAAUUUAUGUAUUAUUGAAAAUAAGUUUGUGUUCUAAAUUCGAGUUCUCGUAUAAAAUAUGCACUCAUCCCAUUUUGAGUUAUGUUUAAAUUGGAUUCAUUAUGAGCAAGGAUCAGGAAUCUAUAAAUACAUAUAUUCAAAAACUUAACUAUUAGAAAUGAUUUUUUUUCUAAAAAAACUUAAUUAUCACAAAUGAAAUUAAAAAACAAGGCAAAUAUUUACAACUCAAAAUGGGUCGUCAAAUCACUUUGUUAAGAAAAAAAUUGGGCUUGUAACAUAAUACUAAUGGGCUGCAUCAACUAUAAAUGGGCCGUGCUCUCAAACAAGCCAGAGUCCCUCUGUUUUAUUCAAUAUAACCCUCAUUUAAAAUAAUAUUAAUAAAUUUACUAUUUUAUCUUAUAGUCCAUAAUCCUCAAAUAUCAUACUUCAUUUUCAGAAUUGCAUUAUGCAAUCUUCUCAAUCAACUCAAUUUUUGAAGUUCUGGAUUGUCAUCUUAAUUUUCCAAGUUUGAAUUUUUAACUUUUAGUACGAGAUUGGUGAUUCAGCGUAGAUGCAUCAUUCACUCCAUCGUCAACUUUGAUAUUCUUCAUUUUACUAAAAUAGUUCAAACUUGUUGUGAAAGGGUAGGAGGCUACAUUUUGAACCAUCAAUAAAUAACAAUAAGGUGCACUAAUUAUGUUUAUGCAAUAGGUAAAAAAGAAGACCAUUCCAGAAAUCUCCAUUUUUUCCCAAUUUUGAAAAUUUCAAUGCAAUCAGAUUUGUAGAAAACUCCCGGAGGAUUAGUUCCCAACAAUAUAGCUGACAGAAUCGCAUCAAUUAGAAAUCAGAUUGCUCUAGUUGCAGAGGAUACUGAUAUCUAAUUCUUGAACUCAACUUUUACCAUUUCUUUAUUUCUAAUUAGUAAUUUUUGGGGUUAUUUACGGCUAAAUACACGAACUUUGGACCAUUUUAUUUUUCCCACGAACUUUGAAAGUUGUCAAAAAAAAUAAAAAAUACACAACAUUGUUGCAAUUUUCCCACAAUUUGAAUUUCAGUCAAAAUUGAAUCUGACAUCAAAACGACGUUUUGAUUCUGAAACAUAUUUUAAAAAAAAGUUAUUGGCAACGUAAAUAAAUGAACUUUUGCUCUUUUUUUCCCCCAUACACUUUGAGAAUUGUCAAAAAAUACACAAACUUAAACAUAUGCGAUCUUAUAAUUGUUUGAUGUUAUCGUAUUAUUAUUUCGUCCCAAAAAAUCUAUAACUAAAUGUAUUGUAGGCACCACAGUCAUCUACAAUCCUACGCGGCCUCAUUAGAAUUUUUUGUUCUUAUUUAUCUAAAUACAUCAAAUCAUGCAUUCAUAUAAUACUACGUCGCAUGGAAUGGUGUUGGGAGGUCGCUGCACGUUGUAUUCGGUAAUUAAAGAUAGAGCCCCAAUAUAUGGUACCCUUUUGGUCAGCGCUUUUGACAAAGUCAAAUGUAGCCUCCGCAUACAAACGACAAAUGAGUGUCGUCUCGGCUGAAGUAUAGCCACCUCUUUGUUUGGUGGUCACCGGUAUGGUCGCUAUCUCCUCUACCACGGGCUCGGUCGCCGCCGCAAAUUGAGGGUUCAAAUUAAUUUCCUCAAGAUCCGCCGUUGGAACGAUGUUUGAUUUUUGAGAGAACGACGAGAAUGCUUGGCCGGACGAAUUUGCGUUACCGGAAAAGGGAUUUUGGGAGUGGUUCAUUCACCAAUUAUCAUCCAUUUUUGUAGCACAAAAUAUAUGAAGUGAAGAAAAAUAAAUUUGCAAAGAAGAACAAAUGAGAAUUGUGUAUGAAAUUGAAUGGAAAAGAGGGAGGAAUUUAUAGAAGGGAAAAGAGGAAUAAAAAAAAGGAAAAAAAAAUUGAAAAAGAGUCGUUGAAGGGCUCUCUACGAAAAUAAUAAAAAAGGGCCAUUUUUUGAAUUUAAAAUCAUUUUUUUAAUCGAUGCAUUUUUUUCUAAUUUGACCGUGAGAAUCACACGCUCAAUCAUUCGGUCGUCACACUGGGAACGGAGCUGGGCGCCAUGCACGAGUGAGGUGGAUUCGGCAUUGGCGGGGGGCUCGCGCGGGCCCAAUGCGCACCGGCAUCGAAGCGCCCCACUGUGGAUGCUCUAAUAAAUUUGCUUGCUCCAUAAAAAUUGAUCUUCCGAUCAAAUAUCGUCAUCAAUCUCUUCUCAUCUCUUAUAUCCUAAAACAGGAUUAUAUUAACUUGUUGCACUUGCUUAUUGUUUUCUGUAUACAAUCUCAACGGUUUUUCUCAUUUCUUAAAUGUUCUCAACCACUACAUUUUGGAAUUAGGCUCUGUUAUUCAUUCUCUAGUCAUUCUGCUUUAAACAAACAAUGUUGGGGCUCAUUCUUUAAUCUUCUAAGUGAAAAAUUGCUGACAUUGGUGAUAUAAAGACCUUAUGUGGCUUGAAGUUGCUGCUACGUUCACCUUUUCAUGCUUUGUGCUUCGAUAUACUGAAUUUUGUAUGCAGACUUUCUAUACUUUGACUUUCUUUGUUUAUCUUUCUAUAUUUCUAUCCUUGUAUACUUUCUAUAUCUUGUCUUUCUAUGUUCCAUCAUGUACAACUUAGUCUAUAUUUCAAGCUUUUCUAUGCCAUGCCAUUCCAUUCUCAAUGCUUUCUAGAUACAGUCCUUUCUAUUCUAAAUCCGUAAAUUUUCUUCUAAGAUACUCUAAACUUAAAGAUAAAAAUCUAAAGUCAUUCUUCAUCAGUUCAUCAAGCACUACAGUCUAGUCAUCAUGUCAUUUAUAGGUUCCGAAUCUAACUAAAGCAUAUAAUUACAUGUGGUGGUUAAACCAUCUUUAGGUGAUAAAUAUCAUGCGUCAUGGAACAUUUUCUCAUUUCAAAUCAAAUGAGUACAUAAUUUCGCAUGGUAAAAUAUUUUCUGUCUCAAAUUCGUUCUCAUAUGCAUAUUUUAUCUCAAUACAUGUUAAAGUUCCAUACAUGUUGUGUCUCAGUGUACGAAUGUCUCCAUAUAUGAUUCGCUCCAGUGUAUGUUCAAUCACAAUACAUGUCUCGUGUCAAUGCAUUCAGACUUAAAACACAUUUAUUCUCAUUGCAUGUUCAGUCUCAAUACAUGUUGAGAUACAUUGCAUUUUCAUUUUUCAAUGCAUAUUCAGUCUCAAUAUGUGUUCUGGUUUAAAUACAUGUUUUAUUUCAAUGCAUGUCCAGUCUCAAUACAUGUUCCGUCUCAAUGCAUGUUAGAAGUGCAUGUUCAGUCUCAAUGCGUGUUUCGUCUCUAUACAUGUUCAGUUUCAAUGCAUGUUCAUCUCAAUACAUGUUCUGUCAAAAUGCAUGUUCCAUCUCAGUCCAUAUUUAAUCUCAAUCAUAUUUAUGUUCUAUAACAUAUUCAUGUGGUGCAUUUCAGUAAACACUUUGAAGACAUUUUUAAUGUACCUUAGUUGAGGGCAGUGUGGCGACGAGCUAAGGGUUGCCGAAUACAUUUUGAAGUCUAGAGAUGUUAUUCUAGACUCAACAUCAAUGAACUUGAGGUCUCAGAAGCAAGAACUUUCGUUCUGAUACCAUCUACUAUCUAUAUAUAUCUCUCUCUUUCUCUCUCUCUCGACGGACAACGGUAGUCCACGGGCUUUCGCCGCCGCCGACCCUUUUGCUCAGUCAACGGGCAGCGGCAACCAUAAAGCUACCGUUGUCGUUGCCUCCAACUUGCUCUCUUUCUCCCAGCCCCUGCUCGCCACAAUCUCUGACAUCAACACACAGAACCAAGGUUCAAGCAAAACAGUAAAGUUAAAAAAUAAUCAUUGAUCAUCAUUUCCUCAUUAUUUUCUAUUUCAAUUUAUAAUCUCGUUUCAAAAAUUGUGAGGAUGUUAUUUGGGUUUGUAUAACAACUUAUCUCAUUUAUUCUCUUGUUUCAAUUUGGUUAAAAAGGAAACCUUAGUUCAUAUAUAGAACAAAUGUCUCCAUAUCAUACUAUGUAAAAAUGUGUGCACACAAAUUGUGAUGGCAGUAAUUGAUUUAUGCGAAAAUGGUUAUAUUUUGUGAAACUGGUCGUGUCUAUUGUUUUUGUAAUUAUACGAGCAGAUAAGAUUAUGUCACAGAAGGUGUUAGAAGGGCCAAACCUUGAUGAAAAAGGUUAUGCAAGUUCUGUUUGUUGGAAAGGAUUACGCAUCACAUUUGAAUUUUAAUGAGAAUUUUCUUUAAAACAAAAAAAUUUAAUUGAGAUUAGAUGGUAGAAGUUUACCGUGAACUGACUAAAGAAAUUUACACUGGAGAAUUGAUACUAAAAAUUUAUAAAGUUGUGGUGUGUGCUGCAAAUGACGUUGGGUGAGAAAUUUUUGGCUGAGAGCUUUAUAAAGAAGGGAGUGUGAAUAGGAAAGUAUAUGUGGAUUCACCAUCGUCUUUCAUUCUUAAUAAAUUUUUGAAAGAAUCUGAAUGAUUAGAAGGGAUGGGUUGGGCUUCAGAAAAAUACAAAAAAUUUGGCCAAGUAUUAAAGGCCCAGAAUAAAAUUGAAAGAUCAUAUAAAACUUCAUGGGUAAUUCUAUGAAUAGCCUCCAUUUUACUCAAUAUAGUCCCUUAUUUAAAAUAACAAUAAUAAAUAAUUAUACAUUUACUAUUUUAUCCUGUAAUUUAUAACCCCAAAUUUAAUACUUUAUACUAAUUCGUAGCCUCCAAACAAUGUAUAUUUUAUUCAUCCAUAUUUCAAUUUCAGAACCGUAUCUUCUCAGUCAACUCAAUUUUUGAUGUUUUGGGUGUAUCACCUCAAUUUUCGAAGAUCACAAUCACUACACUCUCCUAAAAUGGCUUCCGCCACCAAUCGAUUAUGUCUCUUCCUUCUCCUCAUUGCACACUCACGAAAGAGACAUUCAAUUCUUCAACAAAGGCUCUGUCAUCCCCUACGCCGAACAACCCAAAUUCUUUCAAGAAUUUGUGUUAGAAAGGUAAAGUCGAGAAUAACGCAGGCGUCAAAAAAGUUGAGUCAAGAACAAUUAAACCGCAAGAUCUAAGGGCGUAAAGAAGAAAAAGCGAAAUCUAAAACUUGCCCCACAAAAAAAAAUGGUGAAGCACUAAUAAAGAUAGUAUAGAGACAAAUAGAAGAUGAGACAGAAACCAUAUAUCUUGCAUGGGGUUCGAGAGGGGUUAAAGAAGUUUCUCCUAUUUCUUUUUCCUUUUUUUAUUGGGAACUCCCAGAACAACAUGAAACGUGACUAUUGCAAAAUUCACAGCGCCAUUUUCAUAAUUUAACACCCAAAAUAAAAAAAGUUUCAAUUUGACGAAAAAUUAAAUGAAAUUCUAAGAGAAGAUCAACCAAAAAAUGAAUUUUAUAGCAAAAAGUCAUGAGAAAUAGUGAGUUGCAUAUGAAUUUAAUGGUGAAGCAUACUCGAGAUGAGUUUGAAGAUAAAGUCAAUAAUUGCCUCGAUUGUUAUAUUACAUAAUUUGGGGUUAUAGAUUAUAGGGUAAUAUAGUAAAUCUACAAUUAUUUGAGGCUAUACAGAGUAAAUAGAGACUAUGAAUAGAAUUACCCAAACUUCAUUUUGUCCAAUCUUAAAUUCCUUAUUCAAACUUGAAUUAAGCUUUAGGAAAAAUAAUUUAAAGCCCAAACUUGAUAUUAAUAGAAUGAUUUCUUAAAACUUUUACAUCAUGACUCUUGCUUUAAAACUCGCACUGAAAUUUAGUCUAAUCAUAUAUUAACUUUCAAAUUAGUUAGCAAAUCAAGGAAAAAUUAUUUUUUCUCAAAACUUUAAUACUAUCUCAGUCCCAUUAUUUAUAGGACAUUAUUGUUGGGCACGGAAAUUAAGGAAAACAAGAUUAGGGACUAAGAUGAGAUACGGUGUUUCAUUAGGUGAUUAAUUAAAAUUUUACUCAUCACUCAUCAAGAUCAACAACAACAUUAAAUGGAUUCUCUCAAGAUCAAAAUCAACAUUAAAAUUUACUCAAUAAGAUCAACAAUACAAAAAAUUUACUAUGCAACAAGAACAACAUCAAAACAAAUUUUUUGAGAAAAUCAAAAUUUUACUGAGAAAGAUAAAAAAACAUUACUCACAAUAGCAACACAAAAAUCGAACAAAAAUCAAAAUAAAAAUAAAUCCACCGCAGAGAUUCGAGACAAGAUAAGCGAAAAUCGAACAAAAUCAAACAAAAAUUGAAACCCAAUUAAGUAUUCCAAGAUCUGCCCGAGAUCUAUUCGACGAUGGCUACAAACUAGCUUUAGAUCUACAAAAAUAAAUUCACCGUAGAGAUAGAGGCUCGCCGUGCAGGGAAGAGGGGGGAGGAAAGAGAGAGAGGCAGUGGAGUGGGUUUUGGUCCGCCGGUGGAGCAGCGAUAGAGGAGAGACUUAGAGAGAGAGGCGGUGGAGUGGGUUAGUGUAGCGGUGGAACGGACGGUGUAGGAGGAGAGAGAGAGAGAGAGAGAGAGGCAGUCGCAUGGGCGGAUGGUGGCUGCGACGACUGGCGUCUGGAGGGGGAGGGGGUUCUUCGGCGGUGGGGUGGUCGGAGAGGGGAGGGGGGUUCUUCGGCUGAGGUUUCUCUCGAGGCCGCCGCCCCACUGCUAGAGUUUUUCUCGAGGCCGCGGCGGCGCUGUGUGUUGCCUGUCCAAGAGAGAGACGAGGCUGGAGAUGCUGAGACGGCAGGGAGAGAGAGAGAUGGCUUUAGGUUUCAGGGAGAGAGAGAGGUGAGCGGAAUUGAAAAAGAUGAAAAAAAAUGGAAUGAUUUUAGAUGCUCCGUCAAGUCCAUAGUAUAAUUAGGGAGAUAAUUAGUCAAUUAGUUAAGGCUUAAUUUAUCCCUUAUUUUUGCAUAAAAUAGAAAUGUGCCAUGUAUGUUGGGAAAACCCAAAAUGAAAUUUGUGCCAUGACUAAUGGGACAGAGGGAGUAAUUUAAAUCUUCCUGUAAAACUUUGGUAAAAUCUUUUGUUACAAUGAAAUACUUUCUCAAAAAAAUUCUUCGGAUAAGAAACGACUUAAAUGAAAUUCUAAAUUAAAAAUUCUCAUGAAAUUUUAAUGAGGAAAAGUCAGGGUAUUACAAAUUCAGCUCAUACACAACAAACAUUAUGUAUUGUUUAUGUGGAAAACAUAUGUUGUUGAGGUCUUUGUUGUCUAUUCUGGGGUGCUCAUAGGCAACAUGUUUAUAAUGUGUUGCCUAUAUUAUGACAAAUUAUAUAUAUAUAUAUAUAAUAUUCAAAUCCUAUGUUUUGUAAUACCAAAAUAUAUGACAAAAUUAAAAUACAUCAAAUAAUAAAAACUAAUCAAAAUUCAUUAAUAAAAACUUCUAAUACUCCCUCCGUCCCAAUAUUCAAGUGAUUUCUUUUUGAGUCGUCCAAAUAUUCAAGUCUCCUUUCCCUUUUUAGCAAUAAUUAAGCAAGACUUAGUAAAUUAAUUAAAGGUCUCCACCCACCCCCAAUUUCAUCCCCACCCUCUGCUCUCUCUCUCUCUCGUCUUCCUCCCGCCGUCGCCACCACCAACCUCACGCCUUCACCGGUCUUCCGUCCGCCCUCUUCCUCACGCCGCCGCCACCACCAACCUCUCUCCUUCACUGGUCUUCCCUUGGCCCUCUUCCUCCCGCCGCCGCCACCACCAACCUCGCGCCUCCACCGUUCCUCCCGCCGCCCUCUUCCUCAAGCGGCCGCCACCACCAACCUUGCGCCUUUACCGGUCUUCUUUCGCCCUCUUCCUCCCGCCGUCACCACCAACCGAGGCGGCAGCUCUGUUGCAGAUUUGGGGGAAAAAAUUUUGGACCUUGAUUUCUAAGCAAGGUGGAGGUGAAAAUUUUGGAUCUUGAUUUCUAAGCAAGAUAACGAUGAAAAUUUUGGAUCUUGAUUUUGGCCUGUAGCUCUAUUGCAGAUUUUGUAUCUUAAUUUGGAUCUAAAUAUGAAUCUGUAAGGGUCGCCGCUCUGAAUCUGUAAAGGGUAGAGAGAUACAGAAUUUCGAGCCCUAACUUUUCCCCAAGAAUUCAGCCGCCGCCGCGGCUCCCUUUCCGGUGACCCAAGCGAUGUUUGUGGUUUAGAUCCUGUUGGCACUUUAAUUCUAUUUGAAUUCUAGAGCUUUCAUGUCUAAUUCAAAAUCUCUGUUUGUUAUCUUCAUUCAAGGCAGCAUCAGCAUCGCUGGUGUUGGAGAGCAUCAGCAUCAGCAUCGCCGCCGCAGCUCCCUUUCCGGCCCUCGAUUUCGCCGACGUUUUGUUCCCUUCACCCUUAAGCUUAAUUAGUCAAUUUAAUUAGUUAAUAAAAUAAUAUUAAAUAAAGUACUAAUUAUGUGAUCCCUACUACUUUUACCUCUACUUUAACUCUUCUUAAUAUCCGUGUCCAAAAGCAAGGAGACUUGAAUAUUGGGACGGAGAGAGUAUUUGAUAUCUCAUCAAAAGAUAUAACAUCACUAAUUGCAUCAUCUCUAACUACGUUUUGAAUCAUCUACUAAAAAUACUUCUAAUGUAAAAGGAAAGGGAAAAAAAAAUCUAAUUAAUGUAAUCUUCAAGCUUGAGUUUGUCCAACAUUUGAUGGACUCAAGUAAGUGCUUUGUGCUUCAAUUCCUCAACUCUGGCACUGGAUUCAACAAUCAUCCAUGUGUCAUCUUCUACUUGAUCAACAACCUCAGCUACCGGGGCUUCUUCUUCCACAAUUGGCACAUCACCAUUCUCAGAUGGAUUGCAAACUUCUCCUACCACAGCUUCUUCCGCGGGAGGUGUUUUAUUCUCAGAGGCAGGAACAUUAUUCUCCGGAACUGUUGUUGGGGCAGCAGUAGAAGUGUAGAGGAUUGUCACUUCACAAUCGGCAAUGAAUAGACAAGUAGAAAAGUAGUGAGA